CUACGGGGUGCUGCAGUGAGGAAUAUUGCACAAUGGGGGAAACCCUGAUGCAGCAACGCCGCGUGGAGGAUGACGCAUUUCGGUGUGUAAACUCCUUUUAUGAGUCAAGAAAAUGACGGUAGCUCAUGAAUAAGCACCGGCUAACUCCGUGCCAGCAGCCGCGGUAAUACGGAGGGUGCAAGCGUUAUUCGGAAUCACUGGGCGUAAAGGACGCGUAGGCGGGAUGUCAAGUCAGGUGUGAAAUCCUAUGGCUCAACCAUAGAACUGCACUUGAAACUGGCAACCUAGAGUAUGGGAGGGGGAGAUGGAAUUAGUGGUGUAGGGGUAAAAUCCGUAGAUAUCACUAGGAAUACCGAAAGCGAAGGCGAUCUCCUGGAACAUUACUGACGCUAAGGCGUGAAAGCGUGGGGAGCAAACAGGAUUAGAUACCCCAGUAGUC
Molecule: ribosomal RNA, 439 nt
Filed under: uncultured bacterium
Lineage: Bacteria
Description: partial 16S ribosomal RNA
Rfam family: Bacterial small subunit ribosomal RNA
Source: RNAcentral